GGCCGUGUGGCGAAAUGGCAUCGCGUCUGACUACGAAUCGCGACAUCAGGAGAUUGCAGGUUCGACCCCUGUCUCGGUCA
RNAcentral lists this transfer RNA (80 nucleotides) under Pholiota conissans. It matches the Rfam family "tRNA". From Rfam's summary of the family: Transfer RNA (tRNA) molecules are approximately 80 nucleotides in length. Their secondary structure includes four short double-helical elements and three loops (D, anti-codon, and T loops). The record is from Rfam by way of RNAcentral. Lineage: Eukaryota; Fungi; Basidiomycota; Agaricomycetes; Agaricales; Strophariaceae.